Acanthosepion pharaonis is the source of this 107-nucleotide non-coding RNA. Lineage: Eukaryota; Metazoa; Mollusca; Cephalopoda; Sepiida; Sepiidae. The record is from the annotation of a GenBank genome assembly.
AUGCCCAUAUCAAAUUAAAACACCUGUUCUCGUACGAUCGCCGUAGUUAAGCAACAUCGAGUCUGGUCAGUACCUAAAUGGGUGACCGCUUGGGAAUACCAGCUGUU